UUCCCCGUUCGGGGGACGAGGGUGACAGGUGGUGGCAUGGUUGUCGUCAGCUCGUGUCGUGAGAUGUUGGGUUAAGUCCCGCAACGAGCGCAACCCUUAUCAUUAGUUGCUACGCAAGGGCACUCUAAUGAGACUGCCGGUGACAAACCGGAGGAAGGUGGGGAUGACGUCAAGUCCUCAUGGCCCUUAUGGGUAGGGCUUCACACGUCAUACAAUGGUCGGUACAGAGGGUUGCCAAGCCGCGAGGCGGAGCCAAUCCCACAAAGCCGAUCGUAGUCCGGAUUGUUCUCUGCAACUCGAGAGCAUGAAGUCGGAAUCGCUAGUAAUCGCAGGUCAGCAUACUGCGGUGAAUACGUUCCCGGGUCUU
This 367-nucleotide ribosomal RNA is filed under the name uncultured Thiobacillus sp. RNAcentral describes it as "bacterial SSU rRNA". It matches the Rfam family "Bacterial small subunit ribosomal RNA", at positions 1013 to 1382 of the family's 1533-position model. The record is from RNAcentral. Lineage: Bacteria; Pseudomonadati; Pseudomonadota; Betaproteobacteria; Nitrosomonadales; Thiobacillaceae.